Molecule: ribosomal RNA, 455 nt
Filed under: uncultured bacterium
Lineage: Bacteria
Description: bacterial SSU rRNA
Rfam family: Bacterial small subunit ribosomal RNA
Source: RNAcentral
UACGGAAGGCAGCAGUGGGGAAUAUUGCACAAUGGGCGAAAGCCUGAUGCAGCUAUGCCGCGUGUAUGAAGAAGGCCUUAGGGUUGUAAAGUACUUUCAUCGGGGAGGAAAAACAAAACUAAUAAUUUUAUUUCUUGACGUUACCCGAAAAAGAAGCACCGGCUAACUCCGUGCCAGCAGCCGCGGUAAUACGGAGGGUGCUAGCGUUAAUCAGAAUUACUGGGCGUAAAGAGCACGUAGGUGGUUUUUUUAAGUCAGAUGUGAAAUCCCUGGGCUUAACCUAGGAAUUGCAUUUUGAAACUGAAAUACUAGAGUAUCGUAGAGGGAGGUAGAAUUCUAGGUGUAGCGGUGAAAUGCGUAGAUAUCUGGAGGAAUACCUGUGGCGAAAGCGGCCUCCUAAACGAAUACUGACACUGAGGUGCGAAAGCGUGGGGAGCAAACAGGGAUUAGAUACC